This 563-nucleotide unclassified non-coding RNA is filed under the name 'Arenga engleri' lethal bronzing phytoplasma. RNAcentral describes it as "partial contains 16S ribosomal RNA, 16S-23S ribosomal RNA intergenic spacer, and 23S ribosomal RNA". The stretch from base 1 to 239 matches the Rfam family "Bacterial small subunit ribosomal RNA", at positions 1299 to 1533 of the family's 1533-position model. Lineage: Bacteria; Bacillati; Mycoplasmatota; Mollicutes; Acholeplasmatales; Acholeplasmataceae. The record is from RNAcentral.
UGAAGUCUGCAACUCGACUUCAUGAAGUUGGAAUCGCUAGUAAUCGCGAAUCAGCAUGUCGCGGUGAAUACGUUCUCGGGGUUUGUACACACCGCCCGUCAAACCACGAAAGUGGACAAUACCCGAAAGCGAUAGCCUAACUGCGCAAGCAGAGGGAAUCGUCUAAGGUAGGGUCGAUGAUUGGGGUUAAGUCGUAACAAGGUAUCCCUACCGGAAGGUGGGGAUGGAUCACCUCCUUUCUAAGGAAAUUUUUAAAAUCAUCAUCUUCAGUUUUGAAAGACUUAAAUUAAUUUAAAAAAAUAAGUUUUUCUUUUUCAUUAAUUAUUCUUAUAGUAUUUAAUUUUUUAAGGGCCUAUAGCUCAGUUGGUUAGAGCACACGCCUGAUAAGCGUGAGGUCGGUGGUUCAAGUCCAUUUAGGCCCACCAGUCUAAAUGAACUGAAAAUCAAAAAAAAGUUCUUUGAAAAGUAGAUAAACAACGUAAAUUCUCAAAAUAAUGAAGAAAAUAAGGGCGUACAGUGGAUGCCUUGGCACUAAGAGCCGAUGAAGGACGAUGAAGGACGUA